Molecule: ribosomal RNA, 497 nt
Filed under: uncultured bacterium
Lineage: Bacteria
Description: partial 16S ribosomal RNA
Rfam family: Bacterial small subunit ribosomal RNA
Source: RNAcentral
GACGAACGCUGGCGGCGUGCCUAAUACAUGCAAGUUGAGCGAUGAAGAUUGGUGCUUGCACCAAUUUGAAGAGCAGCGAACGGGUGAGUAACGCGUGGGGAAUCUGCCUUUGAGCGGGGGACAACAUUUGGAAACGAAUGCUAAUACCGCAUAACAACUUUAAACAUAAGUUUUAAGUUUGAAAGAUGCAAUUGCAUCACUCAAAGAUGAUCCCGCGUUGUAUUAGCUAGUUGGUGAGGUAAAGGCUCACCAAGGCGAUGAUACAUAGCCGACCUGAGAGGGUGAUCGGCCAAAUUGGGACUGAGACACGGCCCAAACGCCUACGGGAGGCAGCAGUAGGGAAUCUUCGGCAAUGGACGAAAGUCUGACCGAGAAACGCCGCGUGAGUGAAGAAGGUUUUCGGAUCGUAAAACUCUGUUGGUAGAGAAGAACGUUGGUGAGAGUGGAAAGCUCAUCAAGUGACGGUAACUACACAGAAAGGGACGGCUAACUACGUG